RNAcentral lists this ribosomal RNA (253 nucleotides) under uncultured bacterium. RNAcentral describes it as "partial 16S ribosomal RNA". It matches the Rfam family "Bacterial small subunit ribosomal RNA", at positions 524 to 776 of the family's 1533-position model. The record is from RNAcentral.
UACGGAGGGUGCAAGCGUUGUUCGGAAUUAUUGGGCGUAAAGGGCAGGUAGGUGGUCUUGAAAGUCUGCUGUGAAAUCCCCGAGCUUAACUUGGGAAGUGCGGCAGAUACUCCAAGACUAGAGUACUGGAGGGGUUCGUGGAAUUCCCGGUGUAACGGUGAAAUGCGUAGAUAUCGGGAGGAACACCAGAGGCGAAGGCGGCGAACUGGACAGUAACUGACACUCAACUGCGAAAGCGUGGGGAGCAAACAGG